GGACGCGUGGUGCAGUGGUAGCACGCUUCCUUAGCAUGGAAGAGGUCCUGGGUUCACGUUCAAUAAACGUUCAAUUCCCAGCGCGUCCA
Molecule: transfer RNA, 89 nt
Filed under: Fistulina hepatica ATCC 64428
Lineage: Eukaryota; Fungi; Basidiomycota; Agaricomycetes; Agaricales; Fistulinaceae
Description: tRNA-Ala (AGC) (tRNA-Ala-AGC-2-1)
Rfam family: tRNA
About the family: Transfer RNA (tRNA) molecules are approximately 80 nucleotides in length. Their secondary structure includes four short double-helical elements and three loops (D, anti-codon, and T loops).
Source: RNAcentral